RNAcentral lists this ribosomal RNA (490 nucleotides) under uncultured bacterium. RNAcentral describes it as "partial 16S ribosomal RNA". It matches the Rfam family "Bacterial small subunit ribosomal RNA", at positions 28 to 507 of the family's 1533-position model. The record is from RNAcentral.
GAUGAACGCUAGCGAUAGGCUUAACACAUGCAAGUCGAGGGGCAGCAUGGUCUUAGCUUGCUAAGACUGAUGGCGACCGGCGCACGGGUGCGUAACGCGUAUGCAACUUGCCUCACAGAGGGGGAUAACCCGUCGAAAGACGGACUAAUACCGCGUACACUCCAUCUUGGGCAUCCAAGGUAGAGGAAAUGAACUUCGCUGUGAGAUAGGCAUGCGUCCCAUUAGCUAGUUGGUGAGGUAACGGCUCACCAAGGCGACGAUGGGUAGGGGAACUGAGAGGGUGCACCCCCACACUGGUACUGGGACACAGACCAGACUCCUACGAGAGGCAGCAGUGAGGAAUAUUGGUCAAUGGGCGAGAGCCUGAACCAGCCAAGUCGCGUGAAAGAUGACUGUCUUAUGGAUUGUAAACUUCUUUUAUGCGGGAAUAACAAGAGUCACGUGUGACUCCCUGCAUGUACCGGAUGAAUAAGCAUCGGCUAACUCCGUG